CCCUUAGAUGUUCUGGGCCGCACGCGCGCUACACUGAGUGGAUCAGCGGGUCAGGUUGCGCGAAAGUGUUUCCUAAUCUUUAAAUCCGCUCGUGAUGGGGAUUGACGGUUGCAAUUUUCUGUCAUGAACGAGGAAUACCUUGUAAGCGCGGGUCAUCAUCCCGCGCUGAAUACGUCCCUGCCCUUUGUACACACCGCCCGUCGCUCCUACCGAUUGAGUGGUCCGGUGAGGCUUUGGGAUCUGAGCGGAAAGAGCGUUUCGCUGUUUCUGCUCGGAAAACUCAGUCGAACCUUAUCAUUUAGAGGAAGGAGAAGUCGUAACA
Molecule: ribosomal RNA, 322 nt
Filed under: uncultured eukaryote
Lineage: Eukaryota
Description: partial 18S ribosomal RNA
Rfam family: Eukaryotic small subunit ribosomal RNA
Source: RNAcentral